This is a long non-coding RNA of Oncorhynchus gorbuscha (pink salmon), 661 nucleotides long. RefSeq lists it as uncharacterized. The transcript is spliced from 5 exons. The record is from RefSeq and is a predicted model, not a curated record. Lineage: Eukaryota; Metazoa; Chordata; Actinopteri; Salmoniformes; Salmonidae.
CAAAAAAAAUCCUGAUUCCACUAAUCACCUCACCUCCUUACACCAAACCAAUUAGCUGAUCAACUAAGGUCCUGCCCUGACUACUGAUUGAUCACAUGAAGUGGUUGUGAGAGUAAUGGCAUUGUGGCAUCUGUCUGUUUGAAGGCUAUUUUCUAGAGCUUGGCAGAAGCCCCACCUGACUCCUCUGGAGAGAAGCUGAUGGAGGACUGCUUGGUGGGCACAUAAUUCACAUACACUACUGUUAAGAGCACCAAGCCCACACAUUUAGAUCUGUCUCGAGAAGAAGCAGAUUAUGGUGGACCGGAGGGACCAAGGAAACUAGAAGCCUAAGAAGAUGACCCCUAUCACUGGUGACAGUGCGUUCCUAUCCUGGUUUUGGCAGCUGGUGGGGGUGGUGAGUUGGUGGGUGAGCUGUGCCCGCCGGGGCACCCUGGGGUCUACUGCAGAAAGUACUGCUGAAAAUCCAGUUUCUCUCAGCGGUAACUACUGUAAACUGACUGGUAUUCGCUCUCGAUGAGCGCUGAGUGGUUCUGGAAAACAUUCACACAGUCAAAAGACAUGCAUACUGCACUGACUCACAAUACUGACCUGUAAAGUUUCUUUGUGUUCUUAUUUUAUAUUAUCUUAGAGAUGUAAGUACUUUAUGAGUUAUGUAUUUCAU